UUUUGUCUUUUUUAAUUAUAGCAACAGAAAAUUUACCAUUUUAACCAUUUUUAAGUGUACAGCUCUGUGAUAUUAAGUACAUUCACAAUAUUGUGCAGCCAUCACCAUCAUCCAUCACUACAACUUGUCAUCUUCCCAAACUGAAAUCCUGACCCCACCAAACACUAAUUCUUCGAUACCCCCACCUCCAGCCCCUAGCAACCGGCAUUCUACUUCAUGUCUCCAUGAAUUUGACUACUCUAGGGCCCUUGUGUGAGUGGCAUCAUACAGCAUUUGUCCUUUUGUGAUGCUUCCUUCACUUAGUAGAAUGUCCUCAAGUUUCGUCCAUGGUGUAGUAUGGUCAGAAUUUCCUUCCUUUUUAAAACCAAAUGAUACUUCAUGGUAUAAAUACACGACAUUUGGUUUCUCUGUUCAUUGUCAAUGGACACUUGGCUAUGAAUAUAGGUAUACAAAUAUCUCUUCAAGUCCCUGCUUCCACUUCUUUUGUGUAUAUACCCAGAAGUGAAAUUGCUGAAUCAUGGUAAUUCUAUUUUUAAACUUUGGAGUAACCACCAUACUGUUUUCCACAGCUGCUUCACCAUUUUACAUUCCCACCAACAAUGCACAAGUGUUCUAAUUCCUCCACAUCUUUAUCAACACAUCAUUUUCUGAUUUGGGGUUUUCUUUCUUUCUUGGGGUGUGUGUGCGUGUUUUUUCUUUUAAUAUAGUCAUCCUAAUGUGUGUUUUUUUGCCACACCCACACCAUGCAGAAGUUCCAGGGCCAGGAAUCAAACUCAAGCCACAGCAGUGACAACACUAGAUCCUUCUGUGUUGUGUUGUGUGUGUGUGUGUAUGCAUGUUGUCUUUUUAGGGCCACACCCGCAGCACAUGGAGGUUCCCAGGCUAGGGAUCGAAUUGGAGCUAUAGGUCCGGCCUACACCACAGCCACAGCAAUGCUGGAUCUGAGCCAUGUCUGCAGCCUACACCACAGCUCACGGCAAUGCCAGGUCCUUAACCCACUGAAUGAGGCCAGGGAUCGAACCUGCGUCCUCACGGAUACCAGUCGGGUUCUUUAACUGCUGAGCCAAGGCAGGAACUCCAACGAUGCUAGAUCCGUAACCCACUAGGCCACCAGAGAACAAGUUUUUAAUUUUGAUGAAGCCCAGUUCAUCUAUUCCUUUGUUGCCUGUGCAUUUGAUGUUAUAUUCAAGAAAUCACUGCCAAUCCGAUGUCAUGAAUUUCCCACUAUGUUUUCAUCUAAGAGUUUCGUGGUUUUAGUACUUAAGUUUAGGACUGCAAUCCAUUUUCAAUUAAGUUUUGUAUAGAUAGGGUGUGAAGUAAGGGUCCAACUUAGUUCUUUUGCAUGUGAGUAUCCAGUUUUCCCAGCACCUUUUGUUGAAAUCAGGACUGUCCUUUCGCCCAUUGAAUUAUCACUCUUGUCAAAAAUCAUUUGACCAUAUGGACAAGGAUUUAUUUCUGGGCUCUCUAUUGUAUUUCAUUGGUUUGUAUGUAUAUCUUUAUGCCAGUACCACAGUAUUGUGUUUAGCUUCAUAGUAAGUUUUGAAAUCAGGAAGUGGGAGAUUUCCAACUGAGCUCUUCUUUUUCAAGAUUGUUUUAGCUCUUCUGGACCCCUUACAAUUCCAUAUUAACUUGGGGACUGGCCUCUCCAUUUCUGCAAAAAGGGCUGUUGGAAUUUUGACAGGGAUUGUGUUGAAUCUGUAAUGUUGACAUCUUAACAACAGUAAGUCUUGUGAUACAUGAACAUGGGAUGUCUUUCCAUUUAUUUGUGUGUGGGGGGGUUGGUCUUUUUAGGGCCACACCUGCAGCAUAUGGAGGUUCCCAGGCUAGGGGUCGAAUCGGAGCUGUAGCCCCCGGCCUACGCCAGAGCCACAGCAACGCAGGAUCCGAGCCGCAUCUGCAACCUACACCACAGUUCACGGCAACACCGGAUCGCUAACCCGCUGAGCAAGGGCAGGGAUCGAACCCGCAACCUCAUGGUUCCUAGUCGGAUUCGUUAACCACUGCGUCACGACGGGAACUCCUAGAGUUCCUAAAUCUUGAUGAUUUUAUCUGACAUACGAUCAUUUUAUCUAUGAACAGAGAUAAUAUUACUUCUUCCUAAUUUGAAUGCUUUUUAUUUCUUUUUCUUCCGAGGUAUGUGGAAGUUUCUGGGCCAAGGAUCAAGCCUGUACAGCAGCAGGGACUUGAGCUGCUGCAGUGAUAACACCAGUUCUUUAACCUGCUGCACCACAAAGGAAUUCCUUGUAGUUUUCUUCUUUGCAAAGUCUCUGUCUGGCUUUUGUAUCAAGAUAAUGCUGGCUUCAUAGAAAGGAUUAGAAGUGUUCUCUCCUUGUCAGUUUCUGGGAGGAGUUUAAGAAAGAUUGGUGGUAAUUUUUCUUUAAAAGUAUGAUGGGGUUCCCGUCGUGGCUCAGUGGAAACGAAUCUGACUAGUAUCCAUGAGGACACAGGUUCGAUCCCUGGCCUCACUCAGUGGGUUAAGGAUCUGGUGUUGCUGUGAGCUGUGGUAUAGGCCAGCAGCUAUGGCUCUGAUUCGACCCCUAGCCUUGUAAUUUCCAUAUGCCGUGGGUAUGACCCUAAAAAGACAAAAAAAAAAAAAA
Molecule: long non-coding RNA, 2597 nt
Filed under: Sus scrofa (pig)
Lineage: Eukaryota; Metazoa; Chordata; Mammalia; Artiodactyla; Suidae
Description: lncRNA (ENSSSCG00015068640.1)
Source: RNAcentral